RNAcentral lists this ribosomal RNA (137 nucleotides) under uncultured eukaryote. RNAcentral's name for it is "partial 18S ribosomal RNA". It matches the Rfam family "Eukaryotic small subunit ribosomal RNA", at positions 1299 to 1458 of the family's 1831-position model. The record is from RNAcentral.
UGGUGGAUUGAUUUGUCUGGUUUAUUCCGAUAACGAACGAGACUCCAACCUACUAAAUAGUGGUCGAAUCUUUUAGUUUCGAAUCACUUCUUAGAGGGACGAAGCAGUGUUUAGCUGCAUGAGAAGGAGCAAUAACA